GGACUACAGGGGUAUCUAAUCCUGUUUGCUCCCCACACUUUCGAGUUUCAGCGUCAGUCGUGGUCCAGUAAGCCGUCUACACCGCAGGUGUUCCUCCUGAUAUCUACGCAUUUCACCGCUACACCAGGAAUUCCGCCUACCUCUCCCACACUCUAGCACUACAGUCUUCGGCGCACCCUCCCAGUUAAGCCGGGAGAUUUCACACCAAACUUAUAGCACCGCCUACACUCGCUUUACGCCCAGUAAUUCCGAACAACGCUUGCUGCCUACGUAUUACCGCGGCUGCUGGCAC
Molecule: ribosomal RNA, 292 nt
Filed under: uncultured Acidobacteriota bacterium
Lineage: Bacteria; Pseudomonadati; Acidobacteriota
Description: uncultured Acidobacteria bacterium partial 16S ribosomal RNA
Source: RNAcentral